AAGGCACCAAACCAUUGAGGAGGGAUUUGUCCUCAUUACCCAAACACUUCCCACCGGGCCUCACCUUGAACGCUGGAGAUCAAAUUUUAACAUGGUAUUUGGUGGGGACAAACCCUAUCAGCAGCUGCUUUUAAUAUUUAAAAAAAUAUUUUGAGAGAGGGCCCACAGACCCUCUGAAAGAAGCAGACUGCUCCUGCAGGACCCGGGGGACACCCCAAAUACUGUGAGUGCCCCAACUGCGGAAGUGGGAAAGGGAGACCCUCCUUUCCGGAACACACACCCCCUACUGGAGAAGCUGAAGGUCUGCUUCCGGGAGAUGCUCCCGACUUCACCUGGAGCUGAGUCAAGUUAGAGAACCGGACCAAGCGAAAUACAGGGGCAGAGGAGGCAGCAGGGAGGCCCUGGGAGCUCUUUGAAUCCCCAGGUAGCCUAUUCCUGCCUGGCACCACUGGGAUUCAUCAGGAGGGAGGCCAGAGGAGCAGGAGGUGGGAGGCGGAAAGCCUCGGGCAAGUUUUCAAGCCCGUCCUCUGUCUGGAAACAGACUCAGAGGUGUUGCAGGGGACACGGUGGGAGUGAGACCAGCCCUUCGGUGUGCGUGGGAUCUGGGGGAGGCCUGUGACUGCCGGCUUUCCCCUGCUUCUCUGACAACCUGCAUGACUCAGCAGAGGCAGCCAUAAUCCUGGAGAGCCCCGGUUUAAGAUCUCCAGGUGAAGUAGAUUUUUAUUUCAGAACCUUCAGGAAGGGGAGAGUGGCUCAUGGGCUGAGUGGAUAAACCACAAAAUGGGUAAUAUACUAUAGGAGGCAGAGUUUGAGAUCGACGUCCCCCUGCACCUGGGGCGCCUCCUGAUGGUGAAGCUGCGCAAACACAACGUGCUGUUGAGUCUCGACUGGUUCUGCAAGUGGAUCUCAGUGCAGGGCCCGGGGACCCAAGGCGAGGCCUUUUUCCCCUGCUACCGCUGGGUGCAGGGCCACGGAAUUAUCUGCCUGCCUGAGGGUACUGCCCGGACCGUGAGUGAUGACCCCCAGAACCUGUUUAAGAAAUAUCGGGAACAGGAGCUCGAGGAAAGAAG
This 1070-nucleotide long non-coding RNA is filed under the name Homo sapiens (human). RNAcentral's name for it is "non-protein coding lnc-ALOX12-1:3". Lineage: Eukaryota; Metazoa; Chordata; Mammalia; Primates; Hominidae. The record is from RNAcentral.